This 440-nucleotide ribosomal RNA is filed under the name uncultured bacterium. Its description in RNAcentral is "partial 16S ribosomal RNA". It matches the Rfam family "Bacterial small subunit ribosomal RNA", at positions 338 to 795 of the family's 1533-position model. The record is from RNAcentral.
CCUACGGGAGGCAGCAGUGGGGAAUAUUGCACAAUGGGGGAAACCCUGAUGCAGCGACGCCGCGUGAGUGAAGAAGUAAUUCGUUAUGUAAAGCUCUAUCAGCAGGGAAGAAAAUGACGGUACCUGAGUAAGAAGCACCGGCUAACUACGUGCCAGCAGCCGCGGUACUACGUAGGGGGCAAGCGUUAUCCGGAUUUACUGGGUGUAAAGGGAGCGUAGACGGCAGUGCAAGUCUGGAGUGAAAGGCGGGGGCUCAACCCCCAGACUGCUCUGGAAACUGUACGGCUGGAGUGCAGGAGAGGUAAGUGGAAUUCCUAGUGGAGCGGUGAAAUGCGUAGAUAUUAGGAGGAACACCAGUGGCGAAGGCGGCUUACUGGACUGUAACUGACGUUGAGGCUCGAAAGCGUGGGGAGCAAACAGGAUUAGAUACCCCUGUAGUC